UAAUAUUAUCGCAUUUCUCAAUAUGCAUGACAUCCAAAUUAUGUCGCAACAAGAGAGAUUUCCAAUAUGGAAGUUCAAAAAAGAUAAUUUUCUUGUUCCAAUUAUCCUUUCGCUUUUCAUGUGAUAUCUUCCUCUUUUUCUUAGGAUCCUUUGUUAAUGGUUGCCCUUCAAGAUCUUGCACUUGAUUAAGUAUAUCAAUUCCAGAACAUGUUUUCGGUG
This 219-nucleotide long non-coding RNA is filed under the name Solanum tuberosum (potato). RNAcentral describes it as "long non-coding RNA (STUB_LNC008973)". The record is from RNAcentral. Lineage: Eukaryota; Viridiplantae; Streptophyta; Magnoliopsida; Solanales; Solanaceae.